AUUGAACGCUGGCGGCAUGCUUUACACAUGCAAGUCGAACGGUAACAGGUUAAGCUGACGAGUGGCGAACGGGUGAGUAAUGCAUCGGAACGUGCCCGAUCGUGGGGGAUAACGCAGCGAAAGCUGCGCUAAUACCGCAUACGAUCUGAGGAUGAAAGCGGGGGACCGUAAGGCCCCGCGCGAUCGGAGCGGCCGAUAUCAGAUUAGGUAGUUGGUGGGGUAAAGGCUCACCAAGCCAACGAUCUGUAGCUGGUCUGAGAGGACGACCAGCCACACUGGGACUGAGACACGGCCCAGACUCCUACGGGAGGCAGCAGUGGGGAAUUUUGGACAAUGGGCGAAAGCCUGAUCCAGCAAUGCCGCGUGCAGGAAGAAGGCCUUCGGGUUGUAAACUGCUUUUGUACGGAGCGAAAAGGUUCUCUCUAAUACAGAGGGCUCAUGACGGUACCGUAAGAAUAAGCACCGGCUAACUACGUGCCAGCAGCCGCAGUAA
Molecule: ribosomal RNA, 493 nt
Filed under: uncultured bacterium
Lineage: Bacteria
Description: partial 16S ribosomal RNA
Rfam family: Bacterial small subunit ribosomal RNA
Source: RNAcentral